AAUGAACGUUGGCGGCGUGGAUUAGGCAUGCAAGUCGAGCGAGAAGGUUUAAAAGAUACUUCGGUUGAUUUUUAAACUGGACAGCGGCGAAAGGGAGAGUAACGAGUAGAUAACGUACCCAAGGGUUCGGGAUAGCCAUGCGAAAGCGUGAGUAAUACCGAAUAAUGUCUCCGGACCAAAGAUUUAUUGCCCUUGGAGCGGUCUGCUUACUAUUAGUUUGUUGGUGGGGUAAAGGCCUACCAAGACUAAGAUGGUUAGCGGGUGUGAGAGCAUGGCCCGUCUCACUGGGACUGAGACACUGCCCAGACACCUACGGGUGGCUGCAGUCGAGAAUCUUCCGCAAUGGACGAAAGUCUGACGGAGCGACGCCGCGUGAUGGACGAAGG
This 386-nucleotide ribosomal RNA is filed under the name uncultured bacterium. Its description in RNAcentral is "bacterial SSU rRNA". It matches the Rfam family "Bacterial small subunit ribosomal RNA", at positions 29 to 414 of the family's 1533-position model. The record is from RNAcentral.